RNAcentral lists this ribosomal RNA (162 nucleotides) under uncultured bacterium. RNAcentral describes it as "partial 16S rRNA". It matches the Rfam family "Bacterial small subunit ribosomal RNA", at positions 355 to 510 of the family's 1533-position model. The record is from RNAcentral.
UAGGGAAUCUUCCACAAUGGGCGAAAGCCUGAUGGAGCAACGCCGCGUGUGUGAUGAAGGGUUUCGGCUCGUAAAACACUGUUGUAAGAGAAGAAUGACAUUGAGAGUAACUGUUCAAUGUGUGACGGUAUCUUACCAAAAAGGACGGCUAAAUACGUGCCA